Molecule: ribosomal RNA, 440 nt
Filed under: uncultured bacterium
Lineage: Bacteria
Description: partial 16S ribosomal RNA
Rfam family: Bacterial small subunit ribosomal RNA
Source: RNAcentral
CCUACGGGAGGCAGCAGUGGGGGAUAUUGCACAAUGGGGGGAACCCUGAUGCAGCGACGCCGCGUGAAGGAAGAAGUAUCUCGGUAUGUAAACUUCUAUCAGCAGGGAAGAAAAUGACGGUACCUGACUAAGAAGCCCCGGCUAACUACGUGCCAGCAGCCGCGGUAAUACGUAGGGGGCAAGCGUUAUCCGGAUUUACUGGGUGUAAAGGGAGCGUAGGCGGCAGUGCAAGUCAGAAGGGAAAGCACGGGGCUCAACUCCGGGACUGCUUUUGAAACUGUACAGCUUGAGUGCAGGAGAGGCAAGUGGAAUUCGUGGUGUAGCGGUGAAAUGCGUAGAUAUUAGGAGGAACACCAGUGGCGAAGGCGGCUUGCUGGACUGUAAAUGACGCUGAGGCUCGAAAGCGUGGGGAGCAAACAGGAUUAGAUACCCGAGUAGUC